RNAcentral lists this ribosomal RNA (529 nucleotides) under uncultured bacterium. RNAcentral's name for it is "bacterial SSU rRNA". It matches the Rfam family "Bacterial small subunit ribosomal RNA", at positions 971 to 1501 of the family's 1533-position model. The record is from RNAcentral.
UUACCAGGCCUUGACGUACUCAGCAAAGCCCUAGAGAUAGGGUGGAGGUUAUCUGGGAUACAGGUGGUGCAUGGUUGUCGUCAGCUCGUGUCGUGAGAUGUUGGGUUAAGUCCCGCAACGAGCGCAACCCUUGUCUUUAGUUACCAUCAUUCAGUUGGGGACUCUAGAGAGACUGCCGGUGAUAAACCGGGGGAAGGUGGGGAUGACGUCAAAUCAUCAUGCCCCUUAUGGCCUGGGCUACAAACGUAAUACAAUGGCGUAUACAAAGGGAUGCGAAAGGGUGACCUGGAGCAAAACUCAUAAAGUACGUCUCAGUUCAGAUUGGAGUCUGCAACUCGACUCCAUGAAGGCGGAAUCGCUAGUAAUCGCGGAUCAGCAUGCCGCGGUGAAUACGUUCUCGGGGUUUGUACACACCGCCCGUCAAACCAUGAGAGUUGGUAAUACCCGAAGCCGGUGGCCUAACCUAGUAAUAGGAGGGAGCCGUCGAAGGUAGGAUCGAUGAUUAGGGUGAAGUCGUAACAAGGUAGCC